GACGAACGCUGGCGGCGUGCCUAAUACAUGCAAGUCGAACGCACGCUCGAUUAGAUUGCAUGAGUUUGCUUCGGGUCGAAAAAGAUAUUAGUGCGUGGAGGACCGGUGAGUAACACGUGGGUAACUUGCGGUAAAGUGGGGUAAAACCUUUGGAAAUAGAGAAUAAUAUGGCUUAAAAGCUAAAACCGCAUGGGGUAGCGCUGAAAGAUGGUUUCGGCUAUCAUUUUCGGAUGGAUCCGCGCUGCAUUAGCUAGUUGGUAAGGUAAAGGCUCACCAAGGCAACGAUGCGUAGCCGACCUGAGAGGGUGAUCGGCCACACUGGAACUGAGACACGGUCCAGACUCCUACGGGAGGCAGCAGUAGGGAAUCUUCCGCAAUGGGCGAAAGCCUGAUGGAGCAACGCCGCGUGAGUGAUGAAGGUCUUCGGAUCGUAAAACUCUGUUAUUAGGGAAGAAUAUAUCUGUAAGUAACUGUGCACGUAUUGACGGUAUCUAAUCAGAAAGCCACGGCUAACUACGUG
This 520-nucleotide ribosomal RNA is filed under the name uncultured bacterium. Its description in RNAcentral is "partial 16S ribosomal RNA". It matches the Rfam family "Bacterial small subunit ribosomal RNA", at positions 28 to 507 of the family's 1533-position model. The record is from RNAcentral.